Long non-coding RNA from Pyrgilauda ruficollis (rufous-necked snowfinch), 935 nucleotides. RefSeq lists it as uncharacterized. Lineage: Eukaryota; Metazoa; Chordata; Aves; Passeriformes; Passeridae. The transcript has 3 exons. The record is from RefSeq and is a predicted model, not a curated record.
AGCUAUCCCAUGACCUUUGCAGGCCGGUGUGGAGCUUCCCUGCUUGCAGGUGGCACUCAAGUAACAAUCAUGAAUCAUUAAGGUACAUAACUAUCUGGGAGAUCAAAGAGAUCAGGAGCUCGUGGUGAAAGUAGCUGGUGCCAGAUGCUGUGGAGGCAGAGAACAGGCGGGGAGCUGCUUGCCAGAGAUUUCAUCUCUUGCUGUGUUCCAGGUGGCUGCUGGGUCACUUUGGUCAGUGGGAUUGGAAGAGAGCCAUCACCUGCCUCCUGGAUGGUCUGCCAGCCCUGGUGUGUGUUCUGUGCGUGUGAAGCAGAAGCAGAAAGACCCCUCUGAAGCUGAGUGUUGUUGCUCAUUGCUCCCAUUCCAGGUCGCUUAGGGUUUACAAGGUUUGGGAUAGUGCAUCUUUAAAAAGAAAAUACAUGAAAGCAGAUGGCCCUGUGGUAGCUGAGCAUGGAAGGAGACGCCUGAAGAAAGAGUGUUGUGGCAGGAGGGAUGUGUUAGAUGAGGGAGCAGAGACGAGCCAGGAAUGUAAGGAGGCAGCAUGCAGGGGCACACCAUUUCCAGGAGGCUGGAAGCGUAGGAGGUGCUGUACUGCGGUGGCAAAUCUCGUGGAGCAGGUGUGCAGGGGCAAAUUGCCUGCCUGCCACCCCCUGGGCAUCCUGGCAGCAUGUGCUGGGAAAGAGCCAGGGCCAAGGUGUGAAGAGAGGCAAAAACAGGGAGAGGAGAAAGAAAAGGAAGGAAAAAGCCCCAAGAGGAAUGUGGACAAUGUGACAAGACACAGGGGAAGCCACCUGUGAAGGUUAAAGAGGAAAUAUUCUAACUGGCUGAGAUCCCAGUGAGCAAUUACAAAUAUUUUAUUAUAGUUAGAGGACUUGGAAUUCAGCCUCAGACUGUGGGCAUCAGAAAAUCCAUGUGUGGAAAUCCCAAGUGUUGUA